AAAGGCUCAAAGAUAAAACAUCAGGAUGAAUUUGACAUGCUGUACCUGCAAGCUCUUUGUGGCAGCGCUUUAGGGGAUGAAGUGGAUAUUAAGAAAACCAUGUGGCAAAAGAUAAAAGCUUUCUUUCAAAACG
Long non-coding RNA from Cyprinus carpio (common carp), 133 nucleotides. RefSeq lists it as uncharacterized. The transcript has 3 exons. Lineage: Eukaryota; Metazoa; Chordata; Actinopteri; Cypriniformes; Cyprinidae. The record is from RefSeq and is a predicted model, not a curated record.